GACGUAGGGCGCGAGCGUUGUCCGGAUUUAUUGGGCGUAAAGAGCUCGUAGGUGGUUUGUCGCGUUGUUCGUGAAAACUCACAGCUCAACUGUGGGCGUGCGGGCGAUACGGGCAGACUGGAGUACUGCAGGGGAGACUGGAAUUCCUGGUGUAGCGGUGGAAUGCGCAGAUAUCAGGAGGAACACCGGUGGCGAAGGCGGGUCUCUGGGCAGUAACUGACGCUGAGGAGCGAAAGCGUGGGGAGCAAACAGG
This 253-nucleotide ribosomal RNA is filed under the name uncultured bacterium. Its description in RNAcentral is "partial 16S ribosomal RNA". It matches the Rfam family "Bacterial small subunit ribosomal RNA", at positions 524 to 776 of the family's 1533-position model. The record is from RNAcentral.